UUUUACUCAAGCAAAUAAUCCCACUAAAGCUCAUGUGAGUAAACAGAACACUAAAAGGUCUUGAAAGACCUCGGACUGAAGCAAGAGAAUGAAGUUUGUCAAAUCAAUGCAGGAGAAUAUGGUUCUGAAAGCACUACAUCAAAUACUAUCUUUAUGACAGAAACAUCACCGGUUAAGUACAGCCAAACAGAGAUGUUUAUGUAUCAAAUAGCCCUUGGCAUGACAGAACUACUGGGCUUUGGACAUAUUUAUUUUCUGCAGUACAAGGGCAACAGAUGCACAGAAGAUGAAGUGAAGUGACUCCUUCAAGCUCCCUCAGCAAGUCAGCGGCAGGUACAGGAAGAGCGUCCACCUCCCAAAUCCUAGUCCAGUGCCCUAUUCACUGUAACACACAGCCUUUGGGAGUCAUCAAUUUUUCACCUGCUCAUGACUGGGAAUGAAUGAAAUGGCAGUGUGGUAUACCCAGGUUAAAAUUAGCUAAUACCCUACAUCAGUGGUUCUCAACCUGUUUAAAUUCGAGACACCCCUCUAUAACUUUUGUGAACUGAACGGUACCCCAUUUCAAAAACAAAUUUGGUAUUGCAGCAUUAUCUCCUUGUAAAGGGCCCAGGAGCAGCCAGGCAGGGAGAACCUGAGUUUAUUUCUUCACAAUUGCUUAUCUUCUCAAACCUCAUAACACCCUUCAAAAGAUCCUAUGGCAACCUAGCUAAGAAUCACUGCCCUACCUUACUAUCAGUCACUGAUUCCAGCCUCUCCCUGGAUCUGGCAAUACACUAACCCAGCCUAACUCUUCCUAGCUUUCCACUGUCUGUCUUCUCUAAUUUCCUCCCAGGAAUCAUUUCUUGUAACAAUGUCUUCCCUCAUAUUGUCUGCCAAUUAUUUCUGUGGUCUCGCUCUGGGCCUCAUUGUCAGCCCUCCAUGGUACCCUAUUCUUAUGUAUAUAUCACAUGCCCAGACCACAUCAGCCCUCAUUUUUCUAAGCUAGUUCCCCAUGCUAAUUUGUUUGCUUAAAAUAAUCAUAUGGCACAAGUAUAUCUCUGUUAUUUCUGUGCUCUUGUAAAACCAGCUGCAUUUGAAACUUAGAAUGUGCAUUAUUAAAAAGCAGAGACGUAUUGGGCAAGUAAAAGCAACUAAAUACUUUGGAAGAGAUUAAAUAAUUCUCUCUACUUCUUUCAGGUUCCACAGUAAGGUUCAUACUUCCAUAGGGUCCUUGGGACUGAUGUUUUUCUUUGGUAUAUCAGUUUAUCAGUGUUUGCAAUGGGAGCUCUUCCAGAUUCACAUCAGACUCAGAAGAGAACUGGCCCCGUCAGACAUUUCUACUUCAGCUGUGGAAAAUUAUAGUAGCAGUCAUACUAAUGAAUACUGCGAGAUUUUAUAAUGCAAUGGUAUAAAGACCAUUAGCACAGGGGUUUGUUUCAGACACCCUCUGCUGCAAUAACAUUUUUCUUCAAAAUUUGCCAAUGAAAUUUUCCCAGUCAUUCUAUUUUAACUUUGUUUCACUAAAUAUGAGAGUGAUGAACCACGGAAAGUUCACAGCACUGUUAAAAUGUACAUCUGCUAGCUCAAAAGCUGUUCUAAGACUUGAACAAUUUCCACUCAGGGUGAAAACAGACGUUGCCUUUGUGAUGCCACAAGCAUUUUUAUGGCAGCACAAAGGCCAUGAAAAUCCCUUGCUUGAUAUUUGUUGCCAUGCCCCUCGUUAUACCACAAAUGCACAAAAUCUGUGGCCACAACAAAAGUGGCAUCAAUUUGUGCCACUAUUUAGGGGGGCGGUGUCUAUUUGCUUUAUGGUGCAAGAGCAUGGGCAGCCUGGAGCUGCGCAUAUUCUCCAGCUGCCCUGGGAAGUUGCUCUGGAGCUUGAGGGGCCUGAUCCGAAGCAACCCAGGAAUUCUAAUGCAGGAUCAGGCCCGUCAAGCCCCAGAAGCACCUGACCACCUUUCCCUUCUUACCCUUCACUACUGCCUAUCAUUCUUAUAAGUCUUCAUGAUUUCCUCUGUAUCUAAAUGCAGAGGCCCAGCAGGAGUACUGUUCUACCCGUUGAGCUCCCAUAUUAAAUCCUUCUCCUAGUCCCUAGGUUAAGACGGGAUAUCAUUAUGGAUGGCACUGCAAAUUAUGUCUGUAGCAGUCAAAGUGAUAGGGAAUGCAGAGAAACACCUCUGAGCUGGGGAGCACUGUUCUCUCCACUUUCAUGGGUUAGCAGGUUAGAGUGCAACUCUGCCACAGUCCAAGCAUAAGAUCGCUGUGAUGAGCCAAGUGGCAACAGAUGUUCCACUGCUCAGAAUCUGGCUGGGUCUGCAUGGGGAACAGUACAAGGACAAAGCUGCAUAAGCAGCAAUCUCCCAUCUGACUGCCACAGCCCUGCUCGCUCUUCUCCUCCUCCUCGCCCAAUAAAGAUUCCAGUCGGUGGGCAGGAAGAAGGGACAGAGGUGUAAUUGGAUUCUUGAAUGCCUGCAGUGGCAGCAACGCAUAAGACAGCAUUAAGUGGCUGUACUGUUGGGGGUGUGGCAGUGGCCAGCCUGGCAAUGCAGUUGCUGCUAUUUUUGCACACCCACUGCCAGGGGCUAGUGCCUCAGAACCCGCCCCACCCCCAUUCAUUGCACUACUGAGUGGAGCAGGCUAGCUUCCUUCCCUGCAGCAUGGAGGCUUUUUUUUCUCCCUCUGUUCAGUAUCAGGGAAGGAAGACUAUAUCAAAGUUACCAUAACAGGUUCCCCAAAGACCUAUGGGCUAGAUUUUGGCCACAGUUCUUUCUUAUUUCUAAUGUAUUCAGUGGGAGUUUUUCCUCCU
Molecule: long non-coding RNA, 2785 nt
Organism: Alligator mississippiensis (American alligator)
Lineage: Eukaryota; Metazoa; Chordata; Crocodylia; Alligatoridae
Exons: 3
Source: RefSeq, a predicted model, not a curated record